UGGGGCGUGGCCAAGUGGUAAGGCACCGGUUUUUGGUACCGGUAUCAGAGGUUCGAAUCCUUUCGCCCCAG
RNAcentral lists this transfer RNA (71 nucleotides) under Rickettsiales bacterium Ac37b. It matches the Rfam family "tRNA". Rfam says of the family: Transfer RNA (tRNA) molecules are approximately 80 nucleotides in length. Their secondary structure includes four short double-helical elements and three loops (D, anti-codon, and T loops). Further hydrogen bonds mediate the characteristic L-shaped molecular structure. tRNAs have two regions of fundamental functional importance: the anti-codon, which is responsible for specific mRNA codon recognition, and the 3' end, to which the tRNAs corresponding amino acid is attached (by aminoacyl-tRNA synthetases). tRNAs cope with the degeneracy of the genetic code in two manners: having more than one tRNA (with a specific anti-codon) for a particular amino acid; and 'wobble' base-pairing, i.e. permitting non-standard base-pairing at the 3rd anti-codon position. Lineage: Bacteria; Pseudomonadati; Pseudomonadota; Alphaproteobacteria; Rickettsiales. The record is from Rfam by way of RNAcentral.